Molecule: ribosomal RNA, 268 nt
Filed under: uncultured bacterium
Lineage: Bacteria
Description: partial 16S ribosomal RNA
Rfam family: Bacterial small subunit ribosomal RNA
Source: RNAcentral
AAGAUGGCGACCGGCGCACGGGUGAGUAACACGUAUCCAACCUGCCGAUGACUCGGGGAUAGCCUUUCGAAAGAAAGAUUAAUACCCGAUGGCAUAGUUCUUCCGCAUGGUAGAACUAUUAAAGAAUUUCGGUCAUCGAUGGGGAUGCGUUCCAUUAGGUUGUUGGCGGGGUAACGGCCCACCAAGCCUUCGAUGGAUAGGGGUUCUGAGAGGAAGGUCCCCCACAUUGGAACUGAGACACGGUCCAAACUCCUACGGGAGCAGCAUG